RNAcentral lists this non-coding RNA (26 nucleotides) under Mus musculus (house mouse). The record is from RNAcentral. Lineage: Eukaryota; Metazoa; Chordata; Mammalia; Rodentia; Muridae.
UGAAUGUCUAUGAUUUGGGGUUCUGU